Molecule: ribosomal RNA, 252 nt
Filed under: uncultured bacterium
Lineage: Bacteria
Description: partial 16S ribosomal RNA
Rfam family: Bacterial small subunit ribosomal RNA
Source: RNAcentral
UACGUAGGGUGCGAGCGUUGUCCGGAUUCACUGGGCGUAAAGGGCGCGUAGGCGGCCUCGUCAGUCGGGCCUGUAAGUGCGGGGCUCAACCCCGUGAUGGGCUCGGGACGGCGGGGCUGGGGCGCGGCAGAGGGAGACGGAAUGCCGGGUGUAGCGGUGAAAUGCGCAGAUAUCAGGAGGAACACCGGUGGCGAAGGCGGGUCUCUGGGCCGAAACUGACGCUGAGGAGCGAAAGCGUGGGGAGCGAACAGG